CCUACGGGAGGCAGCAGUAAGGGAUAUUGCGACAAUGGGCGAAAGCCUGACGCANGCAACNGCCGCGUGGAGGAUGAAGGCCUUCGGGUUGUAAACUCCUUUUCUGUGGGAAGAGGAAGGACGGUACCACAGGAAUAAGUCUCGGCUAACUACGUGCCAGCAGCCGCGGUAAU
RNAcentral lists this ribosomal RNA (173 nucleotides) under uncultured Chloroflexota bacterium. Its description in RNAcentral is "uncultured Chloroflexi bacterium partial 16S ribosomal RNA". It matches the Rfam family "Bacterial small subunit ribosomal RNA", at positions 338 to 524 of the family's 1533-position model. The record is from RNAcentral. Lineage: Bacteria; Bacillati; Chloroflexota.